GACGAACGCUGGCGGCGUGCUUAACACAUGCAAGUCGAACGAAGAGCGAUGGACUCUUGCUUCUAUCAAUCUUAGUGGCGAACGGGUGAGUAACGCGUAAUCAACCUGCCCUUCAGAGGGGGACAACAGUUGGAUACGACUUCUAAUCCCACAAAUGAUCUAAUCUCGGCAUCCCCGAUAUAUGUAAGCUGGCCUCUACAUGUAAGCUCUCCCUCAAGGAGGGUAUUGCGUCUGAUUAGCUAGUUGGUGGGGUACCGGCGCACCAAGGCGAUGCUCAGUAGCAGGUCUGCGAGGAGGAGCGGCAAAACUGGGACUGAGACACGGCCCAGAAUACUACGGGAGGGAGCAGGGGGGAAUCUUCCGCAAAGGAAGAAAGGCUGAAGGAGGAACGCCGCGUGAGUGACGAAGGCAGUCGGGUUGUAAAGCUCAGGUAGGCGGGACGAAAGGCAUUCUUGCGAACAGGGAGAAGGAUUGACGGUACCGGAAGAGAAAGCCACGGCUAACUACGUG
Molecule: ribosomal RNA, 510 nt
Filed under: uncultured bacterium
Lineage: Bacteria
Description: partial 16S ribosomal RNA
Rfam family: Bacterial small subunit ribosomal RNA
Source: RNAcentral